GACGAACGCUGGCGGCGUGCUUAACACAUGCAAGUCGAACGCGCCUGUCCUCUGGGUUUCUGGGGGGUGGGUGAGUGGCGAACGGGUGAGUAACACGUGAGUAACCUGCCCCCUUCUUCGGGAUAACGGUCUGAAAGGGCUGCUAAUACCGGGUAUUCACUGGUCUCCGCAUGGGGUCUGGUGGAAAGGUUUUUUUCUGGUGGGGGAUGGGCUCGCGGCCUAUCAGCUUGUUGGUGGGGUGAUGGCCCACCAAGGCUUUGACGGGUAGCCGGCCUGAGAGGGUGACCGGUCACAUUGGGACUGAGAUACGGCCCAGACUCCUACGGGAGGCAGCAGUGGGUAAUAUUGCACAAUGGGCGCAAGCCUGAUGCAGCGACGCCGCGUGAGGGAUGGAGGCCUUCGGGUUGUGAACCUCUUUCGCCCGUGGUCAAGCCGCGACGUGGGUCGUGGUGAGGGUAGUGGGUAAAGAAGCGCCGGCUAACUACGUG
Molecule: ribosomal RNA, 488 nt
Filed under: uncultured bacterium
Lineage: Bacteria
Description: partial 16S ribosomal RNA
Rfam family: Bacterial small subunit ribosomal RNA
Source: RNAcentral